This 253-nucleotide ribosomal RNA is filed under the name uncultured bacterium. RNAcentral describes it as "partial 16S ribosomal RNA". It matches the Rfam family "Bacterial small subunit ribosomal RNA", at positions 524 to 776 of the family's 1533-position model. The record is from RNAcentral.
UACGGGGGGGGCAAGCGUUGUUCGGAAUUACUGGGCGUAAAGGGCCAGUAGGCGGCCAACUAAGUCCGACGUGAAAUCCCAAGGCUUAACCUUGGAACUGCGUCGGAUACUGGAUGGCUUGAAUUCGGGAGAGGGAUGCAGAAUUCCAGGUGUAGCGGUGAAAUGCGUAGAUAUCUGGAGGAAUACCGGUGGCGAAGGCGGGUCUCUGGACAGUUCCUGACGCUGAGGCACGAAGGCCAGGGGAGCAAACGGG